Eriocheir sinensis (Chinese mitten crab) is the source of this 599-nucleotide long non-coding RNA. RefSeq lists it as uncharacterized. Lineage: Eukaryota; Metazoa; Arthropoda; Malacostraca; Decapoda; Varunidae. The transcript is spliced from 3 exons. The record is from RefSeq and is a predicted model, not a curated record.
GAAAAAUUGUGACAAACAGCAAUUAGAUACAAAACUCACUUGCUUACCGUACCUUUCUGCCUUUCCUCAGGGACCUGGACACACUGUUCUGCGGCACCAGCAGCAGCAGCCUGCACAUCCAUGGCCUGCAGGAGGAGGACGAGGGGACGUACAGGUGCCGGGCGGAGAACAGGGAGGACUCGCUCGACGCCGUGGCCCACAUACAGGUCCAAGUUGCUCCGAGGUUUCUGAGGCAGCCGGCCAACGCUCUCGCCUAUGAGAAGGAGAACGUGGAGCUGGAGUGCAGCGUGUACGGCCAGCCAGAGCCCUCGCUCCACUGGCUCAAGAACGGCGAGCUGCUGGUGGAGACGGAAUACCUUCAGAGAACGCGUCCAGAACGUGAGUGCAGCUCCUCCAGCGAGGGACGGGAUGAAUACAAGACCCAGAUCAGCGACCUAAGUCCCGGGAGUAACUACAUGGUGCGGGUGGCGGCCCACACCUCCGGCGGCCUGGUGGGCGCCUCCAUACACGAGGUGCGGGUGUUCACCAAGCCGGACCUGGACCUGCCCUCCGCCUCAGAGUCUGAAAGUUGUCUCCACCUCACCCACCAGUCUGGAGGC